UACACUUGGACAUGUCUCGGGUAC
This 24-nucleotide non-coding RNA is filed under the name Arabidopsis thaliana (thale cress). Lineage: Eukaryota; Viridiplantae; Streptophyta; Magnoliopsida; Brassicales; Brassicaceae. The record is from RNAcentral.